This is a transfer RNA of 105 nucleotides. It matches the Rfam family "tRNA". From Rfam's summary of the family: Transfer RNA (tRNA) molecules are approximately 80 nucleotides in length. The record is from Rfam.
GCUUCCUUAGCUCAGUCGGUAGAGCGCGAGUCUCAUAAUUCGUAAUAUGAGGUCUGAGAGUGGACUAUAAUCUCGAGGUCGCAAGUUCGAGCCUUGCAGGGAGCA